UCGCGCUUUGUUAAAGUUUGGCCGAUCAGCACCAUGCCAGCACUCCAUUCCAAUUGGCUAUUCAAGCUUAAAGAUGUUGAGGGAAUUGCAUCUGGAGGGUGCAAACUUGGACAUGUUUCCUGCAGACAUUGAAGAACUAUUGUUGUUGAGGUACUUGUGUUUGAGGAAUACAAGAAUCAGAAGCAUUCCGAAAUCAAUAGGAAAGCUUAAGCACCUUGAAACCUUGGACCUCAAACAAACAUUAGUCAGAACACUGCCAAAAGAAAUAUGCCAUCUUUCUAAGCUUCGUUACUUACUUGUUUACAGAUAUGACAUUGAAGAUUAUGUGGCAUUUAACACAAUUAAAGGAUUUGAGGUCGCAGGAGAGAUCACGAGGUCGGCCAAUCUUCGCAAGCUACUGUUUGUGCAAGUCAAUAAAA
This 419-nucleotide long non-coding RNA is filed under the name Coffea arabica (coffee). RNAcentral's name for it is "long non-coding RNA (CARA_LNC006196)". The record is from RNAcentral. Lineage: Eukaryota; Viridiplantae; Streptophyta; Magnoliopsida; Gentianales; Rubiaceae.